GGAGGGUGCAAGCGUUAUUCGGAAUCACUGGGCGUAAAGAGCGCGUAGGCGGUUUCUAAAGUCAGAUGUGAAAGCCCGGGGCUCAACCCCGGAAGUGCAUUUGAAACUUAGGGACUUGAGUAUGGGAGAGGGAAGUGGAAUUCCUGGUGUAGCGGUGAAAUGCGUAGAUAUCAGGAGGAACACCGGCGGCGAAGGCGACUUCCUGGACCAAUACUGACGCUGAGGCGCGAAGGCGUGGGGAGCAAACAGGAUUAGAUACCCUGGUAGUCCACGCAGUAAACGUUGAACACUAGGUGUAGCGGGUAUUGACCCCCCUGCUGUGCCCGCAGCUAACGCAUUAAGUGUUCCGCCUGGGGAGUACGGCCCGCAAGGCUAA
This 376-nucleotide ribosomal RNA is filed under the name uncultured organism. RNAcentral's name for it is "partial 16S ribosomal RNA". It matches the Rfam family "Bacterial small subunit ribosomal RNA", at positions 527 to 897 of the family's 1533-position model. The record is from RNAcentral.